This 29-nucleotide non-coding RNA is filed under the name Rattus norvegicus (Norway rat). Lineage: Eukaryota; Metazoa; Chordata; Mammalia; Rodentia; Muridae. The record is from RNAcentral.
UCCUUUAGCAACAUACUGGGUGUAAGGAC